GUGGUAGAUAGGAAGUAACUCUCAUUAAUUAAUGAUAUGCAGCGGAUCCUGACCUAUUUACACUGGAAAUUCACCAUGGAGGUUAUUUUACGGAUGUGUUAUACAUGGGGGUUAUUGUGCAGUGAAUUGACAACUUUGCUAGGGAUUAUGUGUCAAUGCUGGCCUUAUAUGACUUGGCAGUGGAACUUGGCUACCAAAAAGAGACCACUAAGUUCUUUUUUAAGGCGAAAAAGAAAGGGUUGGGUUCCAAUUGUAGUUGAUAACUGAUACAGCACAACAACCAGAGGGUUUAGGCAGUGAAGCAUCUGCAAAUGAGCAUUUGCAAUCUGAGAUUACUGAGGAACAAGAAGUUGAUGAGGGUUACGAAGGGGAUAAUGGUGAGGAGUUUGACGUUGAAGUGCAAAACACUACAUAUGUUUCUAGUGGUGAUGAAUUUGAAUAUGAAUUAGAGGAUGAUGAAGAUGUGGCUGAGGAAGUCAGUGGUGAUGAUGUGGAAGAUGAAGAGUUCAGAGAAACUGACUUUGAGCAAAGUGAAGAAGAUGACAACAAGUUUCACAGAUUUGUUGUAACUAAAGAUCUUGAUGAAGACCAGCAUAAAGAACUAUGGGAAGAGAUAA
Prunus avium (sweet cherry) is the source of this 617-nucleotide non-coding RNA. The record is from RefSeq and is a predicted model, not a curated record. Lineage: Eukaryota; Viridiplantae; Streptophyta; Magnoliopsida; Rosales; Rosaceae.